UGUUGUGGGGAAACUGCGUGCAAAUC
RNAcentral lists this non-coding RNA (26 nucleotides) under Homo sapiens (human). Lineage: Eukaryota; Metazoa; Chordata; Mammalia; Primates; Hominidae. The record is from RNAcentral.